UGAGUAAGACAGAUGGUCGCUGCUGCAGUUCUAAGGGAUGCAGGAGAGGAAAGUCCGGGCUUCAAAGGGCAGGGUGCCGGAUAACGUCCGGCGAAGGCGACUUCAGGGACAGUGCAACAGAAAUAAACCGCAUGGAAACAUGUAAGGGUGGAAAGGCAGUGUAAGAGACUACCGCCUCAAUGGUAACAGGGAGGGCACAUGCAAACCCCACUCGAAGCAAGGCCAAACAGG
This 231-nucleotide RNase P RNA is filed under the name Clostridiales bacterium. RNAcentral describes it as "partial RNase P RNA component class A". It matches the Rfam family "Bacterial RNase P class A", at positions 1 to 236 of the family's 367-position model. Rfam says of the family: Ribonuclease P (RNase P) is a ubiquitous endoribonuclease, found in archaea, bacteria and eukarya as well as chloroplasts and mitochondria. Its best characterised activity is the generation of mature 5'-ends of tRNAs by cleaving the 5'-leader elements of precursor-tRNAs. Cellular RNase Ps are ribonucleoproteins. Lineage: Bacteria; Bacillati; Bacillota; Clostridia; Eubacteriales. The record is from RNAcentral.